AGGUGUCCUAAGGGGAGCUCAGCGAGAACAGAAAUCUCGCGUAGAACAAAAGGGUAAAAGCUCCCUUGAUUUUGAUUUUCAGUGUGAAUACAAACCGUGAAAGCGUGGCCUAUCGAUCCUUUAAAUUGAGAGAUUUUCUUGUUAGAGGUGUCAGAAAAGUUACCAUAGGGAUAACUGGCUUGUGGCAGCCAAGCGUUCA
RNAcentral lists this ribosomal RNA (199 nucleotides) under Climacostomum virens. RNAcentral's name for it is "partial Eukaryotic large subunit ribosomal RNA". It matches the Rfam family "Eukaryotic large subunit ribosomal RNA", at positions 2656 to 2854 of the family's 3401-position model. The record is from RNAcentral. Lineage: Eukaryota; Ciliophora; Heterotrichea; Heterotrichida; Climacostomidae.